UACGAAGGGUGCAAGCGUUACUCGGAAUUACUGGGCGUAAAGCGUGCGUAGGUGGUGGUUUAAGUCUGCUGUGAAAGCCCUGGGCUCAACCUGGGAAUUGCAGUGGAUACUGGAUCACUAGAGUGUGGUAGAGGGAUGCGGAAUUUCUGGUGUAGCAGUGAAAUGCGUAGAGAUCAGAAGGAACAUCCGUGGCGAAGGCGGCAUCCUGGGCCAACACUGACACUGAGGCACGAAAGCGUGGGGAGCAAAC
Molecule: ribosomal RNA, 250 nt
Filed under: uncultured bacterium
Lineage: Bacteria
Also listed under: 1 other name
Description: partial 16S ribosomal RNA
Rfam family: Bacterial small subunit ribosomal RNA
Source: RNAcentral